Molecule: ribosomal RNA, 492 nt
Filed under: uncultured bacterium
Lineage: Bacteria
Description: partial 16S ribosomal RNA
Rfam family: Bacterial small subunit ribosomal RNA
Source: RNAcentral
AGUGAACGCUGGCGGUAGGCCUAACACAUGCAAGUCGAACGGCAGCACAGUAAGAGCUUGCUCUUACGGGUGGCGAGUGGCGGACGGGUGAGGAAUACAUCGGAAUCUACUUUUUCGUGGGGGAUAACGUAGGGAAACUUACGCUAAUACCGCAUACGACCUACGGGUGAAAGCAGGGGAUCUUCGGACCUUGCGCGAUUGAAUGAGCCGAUGUCGGAUUAGCUAGUUGGCGGGGUAAAGGCCCACCAAGGCGACGAUCCGUAGCUGGUCUGAGAGGAUGAUCAGCCACACCGGAACUGAGACACGGUCCAGACUCCUACGGGAGGCAGCAGUGGGGAAUAUUGGACAAUGGGCGCAAGCCUGAUCCAGCCAUACCGCGUGGGUGAAGAAGGCCUUCGGGUUGUAAAGCCCUUUUGUUGGGAAAGAAAAGCAGCAGGAUAAUACCCCGCUGUUCUGACGGUACCCAAAGAAUAAGCACCGGCUAACUUCGUG